RNAcentral lists this long non-coding RNA (1855 nucleotides) under Solanum tuberosum (potato). Its description in RNAcentral is "long non-coding RNA (STUB_LNC003802)". Lineage: Eukaryota; Viridiplantae; Streptophyta; Magnoliopsida; Solanales; Solanaceae. The record is from RNAcentral.
UAAUUCAUCUCAUACCUAGAAAUGAUUUGGUUAAUCCCUCAUUGAGCACAAAUGAAUAAGAAAUUGUAGUGAUACACUCCAUUAUUCAGGUAAUGAAUUUCUGAGGGAAUCCCAAUUCUGCCAUCAUACUCUUUAGGAAACACCAUUCAACAGAGUCAUAUUCUUUCAUCAAAUCAACUUUCAAGACACAUCUAGGUGAGAUUCUUUCAUAAAGUACCACUUUAUCAAUUCAUGACUAAAUAAAAUAUUAUCAAUAAUAGAGCUUCCUUCAAUGAAAGCUGAUUGGGAUGGGCUAAUAUAAUAAUAUUCGUUACUAUCCUCUAUGUCCAGACCUCUAUAAUGAUGAUUUUUUAGACAAUAUUACAAUAGGCAAUAGGUCUAUAGUCUUUGACCACAACAGGGGAAGACACCUUUGGCACAAAAGUUACUGCAAUACAACUAAAUGACUUUAGGAAUUUACCUGAGUGGAAAAAUUCUUGUACACACAAGAUCACAUCUGCUUUAACAGUGUUUCAUAGGCUAGUGUAGAAUUCAAUAAGGAAGUCAUCCACUUCUGGUGCUUUAUCAAUAAACAUAUCCUUAAUUCCUUCUCUGUGACCUUAUAGAUAAGAACAAUUUUUUGUUGAGUAGAUAGGCAAUGACCUCUUUGAUCACCACUGAGUUUGGGCAUGGAACUUUAUUUGUUGCAGAGCCCAACAAUUUGGAAAAGAAUUUGACAAAUGCUCAGCUAGCCUUGGGUCUGAUAUCUUCACUCCUUGAUCAUCAUAGACAAAUUUGAUAGCAUUUCUAUUAGCUCUAAUCCUGCAUUACCAUAAAAAAUAUUUAGAAUUUGAAUCACCAAAGACAACCUAAGUAGCUCUAGUUUUUGUCAUAGUGCUUGCUCUUCUACUAAGCGCCACUAGUGUAGGUCAUGUAUGAGAACAUCAUGUUCCUCCUCUAUCAAAAACUGGUUUAGAGGACUAGUAGCCAACAUGUCUUGUGUAACCUCUAGCUUUUGUCUAAUUUGUUGCAGAUGCCUAACAUAGGAAGCCAGAUGCGUAUUGAGAUCAUUUAGGUUACUCUUCAAUUUCAUGAAGAUUCACAUUCAAGAUUAUUUUUGUUUUUAUUCAUCAUAUUGAUGAUUUGUGAAUGAACUAAUAUGUAAUAAAAAAAAGUAUAUGAAGGUAAGAAAUAUUUUAAUUCUCAAGUCUUUCUUUUCAUUUUUAUGUAGUUAGACGUGCUUUUUUAAUGUUUUAUUUACGUAUGUAUUAUCAUCCUUCAAUCCCCCCAAACAAGCAAAAUUAAGAAAAUUUUCGUAAAAAUGAACAAUGUGUUGCCACUAUGUGAUUGUUCUCUUUAAAAGUCAUUUUGUGGUUGACACUAACUUUAUAAUCAUAUUAAACUAUAAUAUUUGUUAGAUUUCAAGUGAUGCAUGAUUAUUUAUUGCAAGUACAAUUGAAAAUAUAAUUUACAAAUAUAUUAUAUAGUUUAGAUUUCUUUCUUUUUCUGAUAUAAUUAUUUUUUGAUUGAUAUAAUAUUUUAUUUAUUCAUAAUUAUGUUUAAAAAAAUUAUUCAAUUGGUAGCAUAUGAUGAGGAGUUUGACAUGGGGAGCAAAAUAUGGUGACAAAGCGACUUGCAAAGGAAGAUGUUUGAAGAAACACAUUUUUGAAGUAUAAUUAAGAAUUUCUUUUUACUUUGAAUUGUAUUAGUAACUUAGCUACUUUUGUUAGAAGUUUUCCAAACUUUUGCUUGUAUUAUUAACUUAACUACAUGUAUUGACAAUGCUACUCAUUUGGUCAUCUACUAUCCAACUCUUUUUGUUAUGAAACACAAUUAAUAUAAUUAUGUUAUCUCAAUCAAAAGAAUUAUGAUGAGG